UUUCCGUAGGUGAACCUGCGGAAGGAUCAUUAUCGUACAAAAUCUGAGGGGCAUUCCAUGGCUGUCGCGGACCAAAAACUCCUGCACGCCCGCGUGUGUCCUCUUGUAUAAUAAUCCAUCUCACCCUUUGUGCAUCCCGGCGUGUGCACCCUUCGGGUUCAUCUCGCAGGCGGGCUCGCGUUUUCACACAAACCCCCCUUUUUAAAGCGUAGAAUUACCACUUUUAUGCAAUAAAUACAACUUUCAACAACGGAUCUCUUGGCUCUC
This 267-nucleotide unclassified non-coding RNA is filed under the name plant metagenome. Its description in RNAcentral is "partial contains small subunit ribosomal RNA, internal transcribed spacer 1, and 5.8S ribosomal RNA". The record is from RNAcentral.